GUAAUGCCUAGGAAAUUGCCCUGAUGUGGGGGAUAACCAUUGGAAACGAUGGCUAAUACCGCAUGAUGCCUACGGGCCAAAGAGGGGGACCUUCGGGCCUCUCGCGUCAGGAUAUGCCUAGGUGGGAUUAGCUAGUUGGUGAGGUAAGGGCUCACCAAGGCGACGAUCCCUAGCUGGUCUGAGAGGAUGAUCAGCCACACUGGAACUGAGACACGGUCCAGACUCCUACGGGAGGCAGCAGUGGGGAAUAUUGCACAAUGGGCGCAAGCCUGAUGCAGCCAUGCCGCGUGUGUGAAGAAGGCCUUCGGGUUGUAAAGCACUUUCAGUCGUGAGGAAGGUGGUGUAGUUAAUAGCUGCAUUAUUUGACGUUAGCGACAGAAGAAGCACCGGCUAACUCCGUGCCAGCAGCCGCGGUAAUACGGAGGGUGCGAGCGUUAAUCGGAAUUACUGGGCGUAAAGCGCAUGCAGGUGGUUUGUUAAGUCAGAUGUGAAAGCCCGGGGCUCAACCUCGGAAUAGCAUUUGAAACNUGGCAGACUAGAGUACUGUAGAGGGGGNUAGAAUUUCANGGUGUAGCCGCUGAAAUGCGAAGAGAUCUGAAGGAAUACCCGGUGGCGAAGGCGGCCCCCUGGACAGAUACUGACCCUCAGAUGAGAAAGCGUGGGGAGCAAACAGGAUUAGAUACCCUGGUAGUCCACGCCGUAAACGAUGUCUACUUGGAGGUUGUGGCCUUGAGCCGUGGCUUUCGGAGCUAACGCGUUAAGUAGACCGCCUGGGGAGUACGGUCGCAAGAUUAAAACUCAAAUGAAUUGACGGGGGCCCGCACAAGCGGUGGAGCAUGUGGUUUAAUUCGAUGCAACGCGAAGAACCUUACCUACUCUUGACAUCCAGAGAACUUUCCAGAGAUGGAUUGGUGCCUUCGGGAACUCUGAGACAGGUGCUGCAUGGCUGUCGUCAGCUCGUGUUGUGAAAUGUUGGGUUAAGUCCCGCAACGAGCGCAACCCUUAUCCUUGUUUGCCAGCGAGUAAUGUCGGGAACUCCAGGGAGACUGCCGGUGAUAAACCGGAGGAAGGUGGGGACGACGUCAAGUCAUCAUGGCCCUUACGAGUAGGGCUACACACGUGCUACAAUGGCGCAUACAGAGGGCNGCCAACUUGCGAAAGUGAGCGAAUCCCAAAAAGUGCGUCGUAGUCCGGAUUGGAGUCUGCAACUCGACUCCAUGAAGUCGGAAUCGC
This 1233-nucleotide ribosomal RNA is filed under the name Vibrio alginolyticus. Its description in RNAcentral is "bacterial SSU rRNA". It matches the Rfam family "Bacterial small subunit ribosomal RNA", at positions 110 to 1335 of the family's 1533-position model. The record is from RNAcentral. Lineage: Bacteria; Pseudomonadati; Pseudomonadota; Gammaproteobacteria; Vibrionales; Vibrionaceae.